GUGGAUUAGAUACCCUGGUAGUCCACGCCGUAAACGAUGAGUACUAGGUGUUGCGGGUAUUGACCCCUGCAGUGCCGCAGCUAACGCAUUAAGUACUCCGCCUGGGAAGUACGGUCGCAAGACUAAAACUCAAAGGAAUUGACGGGGGCCCGCACAAGCGGUGGAGCAUGUGGUUUAAUUCGACGCAACGCGAAGAACCUUACCUGGGCUUGACAUCUGUGGAACCUGGUGGAAACACCGGGGUGCCUUCGGGAGCCACAAGACAGGUGCUGCACGGCUGUCGUCAACU
RNAcentral lists this ribosomal RNA (289 nucleotides) under uncultured bacterium. RNAcentral describes it as "partial 16S ribosomal RNA". It matches the Rfam family "Bacterial small subunit ribosomal RNA", at positions 773 to 1060 of the family's 1533-position model. The record is from RNAcentral.